Molecule: long non-coding RNA, 414 nt
Filed under: Helianthus annuus (common sunflower)
Lineage: Eukaryota; Viridiplantae; Streptophyta; Magnoliopsida; Asterales; Asteraceae
Description: hypothetical non coding rna
Source: RNAcentral
GGGGCACAUUUUUUCGAGCUUGAACAACAGGGUAGAUGAAUAUAUAUCUAAGUGGUGAAAUGAAUUAUGAAUGGAACCUCUAAGAGGACCUUUGGAUGACAAAAGUAAUGCCCCCAAUCCUUCUCCAGAACUUUUCCCAUUGCUUUCUAUCUUCCUCCACGCCGUUAUAACACCGUAAUUUCACGGCGCUGGGACGCCGUUUACGGUUGUAAGGUACCAACGGCGUCACGGAAAUGGCGGCCGCCAUGGAAAUCUACUUCAUUUGGGCUAAACUACUGCUUGAACAGAAGAAACACCAAAUUUCAUUAGCACCCCCUCUGCUUUGAUGUUACACCCUUUUUAUCAUGUUUUGUAGAUUAACAAGUGGGAUUUCCCAAACUUUUUAGAUUGUUUUCAAUCGCUAUUGGUUUGAUU